This is a long non-coding RNA of Mus musculus (house mouse), 2373 nucleotides long. RefSeq annotates it as predicted gene, 36649. The record is from RefSeq and is a predicted model, not a curated record. The transcript is spliced from 6 exons. NCBI's taxonomy places the organism in Eukaryota, Metazoa, Chordata, Mammalia, Rodentia, Muridae.
UGUCUGUCUACCUCAUUGUGUGUCUCUGUUUCCUGGCUUCAGGUGCAAUAUGACUAGCUCCCUCUGUUUCCAGCUGCUACAGCUUCCCUGCCACAAUGGACUGUACCCUGGAACCCCGAGUCAGACUAAAUCCUUCCUUCUUGAAGUUGAUUUUGUUUGGCUGUUUUAUCUUUUCUCUCAGCAGCAAGACAAUAGCAAAGAUGCUGGCUAACCUAAAGAGCCUGGAAGAAGUCUCCAGGGCCUUGCUUUCCCAGGCCCCACAACCCACCUUGACUAUACUGCACAGCAGCAUCCCAGUGGUAGAAGGAGGCAGUGCCUUGGGAAAGUUGCAGUGGUUGUCUGUCUGUCUGGGCACACUGCUCGGACAUGAACUCCAGCUGAGUCUUCUCACAAGCCUGGCCAGAGGAGGCAGAAGACAGGUGGUACAGGCGGGGUUGUGGCCAAUGGGAGACAGCAUGCAUCCUGCAUGCAGUCAAGAGACAAUAACUCAGCCCCAGGCUGUGGCUUAUCUCUGUUCAGUAGUCUGUAGGUGACCAGAUCUGCCUUUCUUUGUGCAUGGGGAAAUUCCAGAUAAUAUGUAAAGGACACAGCAGCAACAGCGGGAAGAGAAAAACAGGACACAAUGUAGCACUUGGGUCUGGUUCCAAGUCCUGAACCUGAGGAAAUGUGGUUGAGCUGUGUAUUUUCUUCCUAGGAACAUCCAGGGCAGGAACUGAGGAACUGCAGAGACACUGCACUACCUCACUGCACUGGGAAGGAAAGGCUUGGAGGUGACCACACGGGGAGACAUGACAACCACAGCUCCCUCCUCUCAAGGUCUGAGACCCCUUGGGCAUUUAGCAGAAAAAGGGCCAUGAGCUCCAGCUGACCCUCAGCUUCUAUGGGAGAGUUCAACUCACCGUGCUCAAAUGUACUGACUUGUGACCACAAGCCCUGUGAGUGGGAGGCCCUGUGUCCAGAGGCUUGGAGGGAGAGCCCACAGACCCCCCAGGGCCCUGAGCCCAUCUUCCUGCACGGGUCAUAGCCCAACACCACUCACGAUAUUGAGAUUAGUGAGCACGUAGCGUUCUGUGUCCUCCUGAUGAGCCCGGGAAACAUCGGGGCCCACAGCUACCAGGAGUUCCAGGUGCAGAAUGUCCUCCAAAGUCCUUCUCCGUCUCAGUCUCUGGAGAGACUGCCUCUCACUGCACUUGCAGACACCCUGUACCCUCCGCCCAAUCCUCUGCCCCAAGUCCUUUUUGAGCUGUCCAUCUGGUCUGCACCUGUGUUGGGAGCCGACUCCUAGUAGAAAACAGCUGUCAUCUCUGCAGCCAUCUCAGGCUAUUUACUAAUAGACCCCGUUGACUGUUGGGAACAAAAUAAAGGCAGACGCGGAGAGACUGCCGGAUGCUUUUCCACUCAGCCCGGUCUCUUUCAGCCCCAGCCUGUCUCCCAGGUGUGCAGGGUUCAUGUAGGCCAAGGGCUGGCAUACAACAAAUUAUGACCACUAGGGUUCAGACCUCAGCUCGACUGGAGACCAGCCUGCAAUUCCCCACAGUUUACUGACUCUCAGACCAGCUGGCAGGAGAGUCCUGGAGCAGGUAAGUGGCCCUGCAAGUACUGUCACAAGUUGCCUGGCAUCCCACUGCACCCUCUGGGAAUUUCUCAUCUAUUUGCUCCAAAACAUUCUUGCACACCCUUCACCCUGGCAGUACCCUAUUACUGUUGGGAUAUUUGGGGAGUUAAACUUAGUUGUCAACAAGAUUGGAUCUGGAAAGGACUAAGAGAUGGUACAGUUCCAGAUGGAUCUAGGAGUACUUCCUGGAAAGGUUAACUGAGAGAAGACCCUCCUCUAGCGUGGGCAGCCCUGUCUGCUUCCACUCCUUGCUCAUGAGUACAUGUAUCCUGUUGCUGCUGCUAUUGCCACCACCAUCCUUCAAUGACAUCAGAGCCCAGCUUCUUUGGCCUUCUAACACAGAAUGGAGACAAGAGAGUCUUCAGGAAUCCUCCAGACCUUCAGUGCCAACUAGAACUUCCGGCACAUCCAGCCUCAUGGACUGAGCAGUUACCAGAUUUUGAUGGCAUGUACUGAGGACCCAGACUGGAUGAGAUGUCCAGCCUCAUGACUGCCCUACUACUGGACUCUUGGGACUUUCUGUUGGGAGACGGCCAUUGUUGAACUGUAAGGAGAGAGCCACCGCAACCAGUCUGUCUUGAAGGCAACUCUCCCAUGUUUGCUCCCACAUUUUGUUAGCAGGGUUGAGUCAGUUUCACAUUCCCAGGUUUGGGGACAGGAUCCUACCCUUUCCCUCCAAAUGUUCGUGUUCUCUCUCUCUCUCUCUCUCUCUCUCUCUCUCUCUCUCUCUUUCGAGACAGGGUUUCUCUGUUUCCCUG